UACACUCUAAACCCUUUAACGAGGAUCAAUUGGAGGGCAAGUCUGGUGCCAGCAGCCGCGGUAACACCAGCUCCAAUAGCGUAUAUUAAAGUUGUUGCGGUUAAAAAGCUCGUAGUCGAAUUUGUGUCCCGCGCCGCCGGUUCAUCGCUCGCGGUGUUAACUGGCGUGUCCGCGGGACGUCCUGCCGGUGGGCUUAGCUCUCGGGCGGCCCAAUCUCAAUCCCACCGCGGUGCUCUUUACUGAGUGUCGAGGUGGGCCGGCACGUUUACUUUGAACAAAUUAGAGUGCUUAAAGCAGGCUAAAAAAUCGCCUGAAUACUGUGUGCAUGGAAUAAUGGAAUAGGACCUCGGUUCUAUUUUGUUGGUUUUCGGAACCCCGAGGUAAUGAUUAAUAGGAACGGAUGGGGGCAUUCGUAUUGCGACGUUAGAGGUGAAAUUCUUGGAUCGUCGCAAGACGGACAGAAGCGAAAGCAUUUGCCAAAAACGUUUUCAUUGAUCAAGAACGAAAGUUAGAGGUUCGAAGGCGAUCAGAUACCGCCCUAGUUCUAACCAUAAACGAUGCCAGCUAGCGAUCCGCCGACGUUCCUCCGAUGACUCGGCGGGCAGCUUCCGGGAAACCAAAGCUUUUGGGAUCCGGGGGAAGUAUGGUUGCAAAGCUGAAACUUAAAGGAAUUGACGGAAGGGCACCACCAGGAGUGGAGCCUGCGGCUUAAUUUGACUCAACACGGGAAACCUCACCAGGCCCGGACACCGGAAGGAUUGACAGAUUGAGAG
This 773-nucleotide ribosomal RNA is filed under the name Euoniticellus triangulatus. RNAcentral's name for it is "SSU rRNA". It matches the Rfam family "Eukaryotic small subunit ribosomal RNA", at positions 519 to 1254 of the family's 1831-position model. The record is from RNAcentral. Lineage: Eukaryota; Metazoa; Arthropoda; Insecta; Coleoptera; Scarabaeidae.